RNAcentral lists this unclassified non-coding RNA (335 nucleotides) under soil metagenome. RNAcentral's name for it is "partial contains 5.8S ribosomal RNA, internal transcribed spacer 2, and large subunit ribosomal RNA". The stretch from base 1 to 120 matches the Rfam family "5.8S ribosomal RNA", at positions 35 to 154 of the family's 154-position model. The record is from RNAcentral.
GAUGAAGAACGCAGCGAAAUGCGAUAAGUAAUGUGAAUUGCAGAAUUCAGUGAAUCAUCGAAUCUUUGAACGCACAUUGCGCCAAUUAGUAGUCUAGUGGGCAUGCCUGUUCGAGCGUCAUUUCAACCCUUAAGCCUAGCUUAGUAUUGGGAAUCGACUUUACUGUCGUUCCUCAAAUUCAACGGCGGAUUUAUAGCAAUCUCUGAACGUAGUAAUUUUUUUCCUCGUUUUUGAAAUACUAUAAACCUCAGCCGCUAAACCCCCAAUUUUUCUAUGGUUGACCUCGGAUCAGGUAGGAAUACCCGCUGAACUUAAGCAUAUCAAUAAGCGGAGGA